Molecule: long non-coding RNA, 5024 nt
Organism: Helianthus annuus (common sunflower)
Lineage: Eukaryota; Viridiplantae; Streptophyta; Magnoliopsida; Asterales; Asteraceae
Exons: 8
Source: RefSeq, a predicted model, not a curated record
GUAGCCUCUAGUUGAGAAGCUUCAAUCAGACGACGGAAUCAAAACAGAUAUGCAGAUCUGUUAAUCUUUCAUCAUCCUCAUCUGCGACUCACGGUACAUCUGCGACUCCGGCGAUCAUCCUCGUCACUCAUCGAUCUGAUACCGUACGUCUGAAAUCAUCUCACCAAUCUGAUUUUGAGGAGAUCUGCCGCUCGAAGAAAUCCUUUCGCCGAUCUGAUUCUGGCGACACUGAUCAUCAUUUCCUUUAAGGUUAGGUUUCGUCUAUAAGGUUAUAUCAUUGUUAACGGUUUAGAUUCAUUACACUGUAUCGAAUUGCUAGGGUUAUGGAAGCUAGAGGUUGUGAUUUUGUUUUGUUUGUGUUUGAUUAACUGAUUGAGUUCUAGUUUUAGGUUUUACAGAAAUUUGAGCUCCUGACUCUGUAUGUUUCUUUGAUCAAAUUUUAAUCAUAGGUUCUACGGAAAUUAGGAUUACUCAACAAUUGAAUCUGUUUUUUGUGUUGUGUUUCUGAAAGUGAAAUUAGGAUUAUUCGACAAUUGAAUUUCAGUUUUAGGUUUUAGAGAAAUUAGAGGUCCCGACUCUGUUUUUCUUCGUGUUUAAUUGUGUUUUGGAAAGUGAAAUUAGGACUAUUGAUCUGAUUAUAAUUUUAGGUUUUACAGAAAUUAGAGCUCCUGAUCAUGUGUUUCUUCUUGCAUGUUCGUAUUCAGGUUUUUAGGAAAGUGGAAUUAGGAUAAGUAAGCGAAUAUAAUUCGUUGUUUGAAUUUUAAUCUUAGGUUUUACAGAAGUAAGAGCUCCUGACUCUGUUUUUCUUGUGUAUUCGUAUCAAUUUGUGUUUAAAUUAGGCUUUACAAAAAUUAAAACUGUUGGCUCUGUUUUUAUUUUUGUGUGUUCGUAUUCAAUUGUGAUUAGUAAAGUGAAAGUAGGCCCGUCGUUUGCCUUCCACGCCGGUAGAAAUCCUGUCGCCCCACACACAACGCUAAAUACAGGGUGGUUUAAUGGACUGGCCUCCAUGUCAGAUAUCCACGUUCACACCGUAUUUUCUAACCCAAAAGGACAGAAUUACACUUUCAUUAUUUAUUUUAUUAUUAUCUUGACACGCAAGAAUAAUGAGUUUCAAUAAACCAAAGUGUUUGGUUCUGUACAUGCCAAUUUUACAAGUACUCUCUCUCUCUCUCUCUCUCUCUCUCUCUCUAAAAACUCUCGAUUUCGACUCCCACACACACACACAGAUGAUCUAGUUGCCGAAUCACCAACUCACGUCGUUUCUUCGCAAAUCAUCCUCAUCAAUCUUCAGAUCACAUCCUCAUAGAUCCAGGUAUGAUAUCGCUCGCUCGCUUUAUCUAUCUAUCGACCUAUACAUACACGUAUUUAUGUAUAUAUCGUGUUUACUGCGUCAUCUAUGUUAGUUGUUUGUUCAAUCGUUCGUUGAUCUUCUUCAAUGCAGCAGGCAAAUUAGCUACGUAAGGUCCAUGUGUUUCCCCUAACGGUGUUGCUAACAUGCACCUCCUUUAGGAACCAACGAACUACUACGUGUGUGAGUGUGGUGGACCGGUAAUUAGGUGUUUGUUGCUGAAUUGAUAGGUGCUGUUGUGUGAUGAUGUCGGCUAAUCAGGUGGUGAAAUUACGGAGAAAAGAGUUAGCGGCAUGCAUGACAUGCCCUAUCUGCAAUAAAUUGUUGCGAGAUGCUACUACUGUUCCUGAAUGUCUUCAUACGUGUGAGUCUGUUUAUCUGUUUGGUAUUGUUUUAUCCAUUUCGAUCGUAAUUCUCGAUUCGCCACUACGAGUUUGACUUUGUAGUAUCACAAUUGGGCUUCUUCGUGAUUUAUAGAUUAUUAUUCAUGUUGACUGUCAAAAUAAUUGUGUGUUUGUCUUGUUAAGUUGAUUGAUGUGACUAUAGGAAUGAUUCAGUUACUUGUCAAAAUAUGUCAUGAAAUGUAGGGUGCAGGCCAAUUGAAACUUAAGUUUUAUUUAGGGGUUAAACAUGCAUGCAAUUCUGAUUGAAGAUUAUGUAAAUAUGUGUUAUGAAGAUAAUUAUUUGAUUAUAAUCUAGUGUUAAUUAGGUAACAUGUUAAUGGUAAUGCUUAUCUUACUGUAGUUUUAUAUGAUUAAUUUCAUACUGGUUGCAUAAGAAAUAGUAGUCAAAUGAAAGAGGAUUUCUUUCAAACACUUAACAUCAGUUAUCAAAGGUGAGUUUGGAUCUUUGUACUCUCUUUGGGGUUCAAACAUGGUGUUUGGGUAAGAUGAUAAAGCUUUGAAUAAUCGAUUUGAUACUGUGUUAAUGGGCACGUGUUUGAAGAAAUGCAAAGGCCCGAUACACCUUUGUACAACAUUAAGGCUUACUUGCCCGUUGUCGAGUCAUUUGGGUUUUCAGGUGCAUCGAGGGCGGUGACUUCGGGUCAAGCCUUUUCCCGCAAUCGGUGUUUGACCAUUGGGAAAUGAUGUCUUCUGACCCGUUGGAACCGGGGUCGCAAGCUACCGCACUUGUGGCUAGUAUUCGCAAGAGAAAAGGGUUAAAGGAACAGCUCACUCCCCUCUCUGAAUUUGAGGACAAGCUGUAAGUUGGUGGUUAAGAAAAGAGGUUAAUAAAUAAGAAAAUAUUAUUUGUGUGAGUAUUAUAAGUUAGUAUCUUUAAUAGUUAAAAUUUUUCUGUUAAUGUUAUAACUAUAUAGGGUCAUGCUGCCUUAGUAGGAUAUGCAGCUUACAUCCUAUGAAUCUAUGAUGUCUUAUUUUCUGUAAUGUGUGUUUAAUUAAUAUGUCGAGUUUGUGUUAAAGUUUUCAGUUUUAGUGUUGUUUAAGCUAAUCUUUGUGGGUUUCUAUUAUCCGUUUUAAGCAUCUGAGUGGAGGUGAACACGGACCAAACUUGACCGGGUCUAUACGGGACCGGAAACUGGAAGUGAGGGGAAAGGGAUACCUUCUCGGAUCGUUAGUGGCGGGUUUUGGUGGUGGUUAGGGGAGUGACGAAGAUGGCCUCAAGAGCUCCGACGAAACAUCAAGUGUUACAGCCAUAAGAGAAGCAGAUUCACAUCAGAAAAUUACUCCGUCUCCGGGUUUAGGCUUGUUAGUGAUGCUGUUGUUACAUUGACGACGUUUCUGGAUAAGCAAAUUGGAUUUAAAUGAUCGGCGAGCGUCACAAGCGAGCAAGCAUUGAGUUUGUUCAGGAGCCUUCAACGAUUGUAAGUAAUUUUUAAUUAUGCACGAAUUUAGUUGUUUCUGAUGCUUAAUUUCUUGAUUGAUGAAUCAAUUUUUGGUUUAAGUGAUGUGACGGAUGCAAAAUCGCUAAAUUUGCUACCUCAGGUAGGUUACGUCUGCAAUUGAGGAGUUAUUAGUAGCACAGGGAGAACCAUUGGUAACUGAUUUGAGCAUAGAGUUGUUCUAAAGUUAUGCUUAUUAGGUUUUAUAUGCUUUGUGUUUGUACUUUUUACAUAUGGUACAACUAUCUAGCUUACUUUUAGCUCCACGUUUUGACUACGGGUGUAAAUUUUUCCUUUGACUCUCUUUCUUUAGUUAAUAAUAAUAUGUGUUACUGAUUUCAGCCCAUCUGCUUUUGAGCAGGUAAAAAUAGGUAAAAAAAAAUGGAACGGGUCAAAUCACUCAAAUGGCUGGAACAGGUCAAUGGUUGGCCAAAGUGUACCUAAAAGAAUCCAGAAAUUAUUGCAUGUACAUAUGGACCACAGCCUAUCCAUUUGGAACAUAAGAUUAAACUUUUGGGAAAUAGUCCAGUUGGAAAUGCGUCUUAUGAUGUGUUGGUGGAUGUCCCGUUUCCAGUACAAAGGGAACUUGAUACUGAGAAAGGUUACUGGAGAGCCUUUAAUGCAAAGGAAGGAUGAUACUGCAGCAGUUCUCAAAUCAAGGAAAACGGUGAACAUAAAGGAAAACAGGCCCGUUUCUUUCACUUACGAGGUUGCGUUUGUCGAAAGUGACAUCAAGUGGCCAUCGAGAUGGGAUGCUUAUUAAAAGAUGGUGGGAGCGAAAGUGCAUUGGUUCUCGAUUUUGAACUCGUUUAUGGUUAUCACUUUCUUGGCAGGUAUCGUCCUUGUGAUCUUUUUAAGAACGGUUAGACGGGAUUUGACUCACUACGAGGAGUUAGACAAGGAGGCACAAGCGCAGAUGAACGAAGAAUUAUCGGGUUGGAAGCUCGUCGUAGCUGACGUUUUCCGUGCUCCCAGCAACCCGGGACUUCUAAGCGUAAUGGUUGGAAACGUGGUUCAGAUUCUCGGAAUGGCAGUUGUGACGAUCAUGUUUGCCGCCCUCGGGUUCAUGUCUCCCGCUUCGCGUGGGACUCUGGUGACCGGUAUGCUAAUCUUCUACAUGGUUCUCGGAAAUUCAGCCGAUUACGUUGCUGUACGUAUGUGGUGAACGAUCUUCUGUGGGGACCACAGAGGAUGGGUCUCGAUUUCUUGGAAGGUCGCCUGUUUUUCCCCGGUAUCGCGUUUUAACAAAAUACCAAUACAUUGAUAUAUGUACUUCACCUCCUUUUGUUAAACUAGCUUUUAGUCGUAUUAUGCUAUAAAAGACAUAUGAACGUUGUUCCCGGUAGGUACAUGUACACAUUAAGAGACACUUGAUAUGUGAACUGCCAGAAACCGAUAGUGGCAUCAAACAAUGGUGUAGAGACAGAUUUGUCGAAAAGUGUAGUUGAGGGACUGCACAAGCUCUUCAAUUGCCGGAUGUUGCCCUCAAACAAAAGGUAUACGUAAAGCGCUUAUUUAUCGUCGUUAUUACUGAUUACUGAUGCCAUUGAUCUGGCCAGAAUUGUUGAUCGUCAUUAUUACUGUUAUGCUAGAAAAUGCUAUUGCCGUGUGGACUUCCACCAGAAAGAGAAGAGGAUUAAAGGGCGGUUUAUUCUACAUAUGUGGAGGUUUAGGCUGUGUUUAUGAGUGCAUUAUUGACUAAAUGUGACAGGAUAAUUUGUAUCUUUAUGGUAUCCUGAUAUAGAUGUCUUAUGUACUGUUUCACCAUGCACUAAUGUUUUCGUUCAAAACAUGUUUUUUUUAAGUAUAUUUUUUAUUGUUAUGAUAACUUUGGUA